RNAcentral lists this unclassified non-coding RNA (81 nucleotides) under soil metagenome. RNAcentral's name for it is "partial internal transcribed spacer 1". The record is from RNAcentral.
AAAAAUUGAGGUAUUCAUACCUCUUUUUGUAUUUAAAACCUUACUCUAUAAAACCCAAAAAAUUUUAUAUAUGAAAAUGAA